This 344-nucleotide long non-coding RNA is filed under the name Cyanistes caeruleus (blue tit). Its description in RNAcentral is "lncRNA (ENSCCEG00000015617.1)". The record is from RNAcentral. Lineage: Eukaryota; Metazoa; Chordata; Aves; Passeriformes; Paridae.
UGAGAUCCCUGUAAACUCCCUUAUUCCUGAUGUUGAUCUCUCCCUGCUCUUUGGUUUUCUAGGCUGAAGAGAAGAUGAGAUUAGCUGUUCAGGCACAUGGGACACUUUAAAGAGUUUUUGUUGCCUUUCUGGUGGAAGCAAUGAGGACUUCAAGGAGGAAAGGUGAAUUCCUUUCUGGAAGGUGUUGAAGGCACCUAAAGCAUCACAACGGCCAUAUUGUUCAGGAUUUCAAAGAGCAAUCGUUUAUCUUUGUGGAUACAAGUAAACGGACAAUGGUGUCCCGACCAUCUGCUCAAGCUGCUUGAGAACAGUCUUCUGUGCAAAUGGCAUGAAAGGUUCAAAUG